UUCAGCAGACGGCAUGUUGGGGAGCACUGUCAGAGCCGACAGCACCAGAAUCGGCUCAAAAAUUGAUGUUGAUAGUAUGUCAGGUUCUCUCAUCGGUGCAGAUAUAGUUGCCCGACCCUUCUUCGGUGGUCGGGAGGGCCCAGCUUUGGAUACUGUUGCCCUCUUCUUAACAGCAUGCUGACGAAUAUCGACAAUCGAUACUCGCAUCCUUGACUGCAUAGCUAC
RNAcentral lists this long non-coding RNA (225 nucleotides) under Elaeis guineensis (African oil palm). RNAcentral's name for it is "long non-coding RNA (EGUI_LNC007763)". The record is from RNAcentral. Lineage: Eukaryota; Viridiplantae; Streptophyta; Magnoliopsida; Arecales; Arecaceae.